Manis javanica (Malayan pangolin) is the source of this 269-nucleotide long non-coding RNA. RefSeq lists it as uncharacterized. The record is from RefSeq and is a predicted model, not a curated record. Lineage: Eukaryota; Metazoa; Chordata; Mammalia; Pholidota; Manidae.
AGCCCGUGGCCCCGCCUCUGCGAGCGUCUGCGGCGGAGCGGUAGUGCGGGUCCUUCAGGUGGGAGGCGAGCUGGGCUUGGCUUCCUCAGCGCUCCCUGACCUCGCCUACGGUGUCUCGCUCUUGGCUCUGAUCGAGCCAUCGCUGCCGCGGCGAACACAGUCCCUGGAGCCCCUCACGCUGCCGGAACUCGGGACGUUGAAGGAACUUACCUGGUGGACCUCGGAGAGAUACUGUGGAUUGAGGUGGCAUCAGUGUCCCUGCCAAAUUA